UAAACAGUAGCUCAGUUGGUUAGAGCAAGGCCGAUAACGCCGAGGUCGUGGGUUCGAGCCCCACCUGUAUUUG
RNAcentral lists this transfer RNA (73 nucleotides) under Bacteriophage sp. Its description in RNAcentral is "tRNA-Tyr". It matches the Rfam family "tRNA". From Rfam's summary of the family: Transfer RNA (tRNA) molecules are approximately 80 nucleotides in length. Their secondary structure includes four short double-helical elements and three loops (D, anti-codon, and T loops). Further hydrogen bonds mediate the characteristic L-shaped molecular structure. tRNAs have two regions of fundamental functional importance: the anti-codon, which is responsible for specific mRNA codon recognition, and the 3' end, to which the tRNAs corresponding amino acid is attached (by aminoacyl-tRNA synthetases). tRNAs cope with the degeneracy of the genetic code in two manners: having more than one tRNA (with a specific anti-codon) for a particular amino acid; and 'wobble' base-pairing, i.e. permitting non-standard base-pairing at the 3rd anti-codon position. The record is from RNAcentral.